Molecule: long non-coding RNA, 363 nt
Organism: Mastomys coucha (southern multimammate mouse)
Lineage: Eukaryota; Metazoa; Chordata; Mammalia; Rodentia; Muridae
Exons: 2
Source: RefSeq, a predicted model, not a curated record
GUUGGGGUGAUGUCAGCAAGGUAUGAAUGUGUGGCAUCUGGAAUAAGACACUCAAAAGGUUCAUCUGGGAGUACAGAAGAUUCACCAAAGAUGUUGAGCCAUCUCUAUAUCUGUAAAAAGAUGGGAAAAGAUACUCCAAGCAAAUGAGACUAGGAAAUAAGCAGGCAUCCCUUUUCUAAAAUCUACCAACAUAAACUUCAAGCCAAACUAGUCAGAAGAGAGAAAGGUCAUGUCCAUCAACUGCAAGAAGCAUCCAUCAAGAGGAUAUUGCAAUUCUAAAUAUCUAUGCACCGAACACUGAAGCAUUCAGUUUUAUAAAACAAACAAACAAAAAAAAUUGCUAUUCAUAAAGUUACAGAUUAA